Molecule: ribosomal RNA, 253 nt
Filed under: uncultured bacterium
Lineage: Bacteria
Description: partial 16S ribosomal RNA
Rfam family: Bacterial small subunit ribosomal RNA
Source: RNAcentral
UACGAAGGGGGCUAGCGUUGCUCGGAAUCACUGGGCGUAAAGCGCACGUAGGCGGAUCUUUAAGUCAGGGGUGAAAUCCCAAGGCUCAACCUUGGAACUGCCUUUGAUACUGGGGAUCUCGAGUCCGGAAGAGGUUGGUGGAACUCCGAGUGUAGAGGUGAAAUUCGUAGAUAUUCGCAAGAACACCAGUGGCGAAGGCGGCUCACUGGCCCGGUACUGACGCUGAGGUGCGAAAGCGUGGGGAGCAAACAGG